AUUGAACGCUGGCGGCAUGCCUUACACAUGCAAGUCGAACGGCAGCACGGGGGCAACCCUGGUGGCGAGUGGCGAACGGGUGAGUAAUGCAUCGGAACGUGCCCAGUAGUGGGGGAUAGCCCGGCGAAAGCCGGAUUAAUACCGCAUACGUACUGAGGUAGAAAGCGGGGGACCGAAAGGCCUCGCGCUAUUGGAGCGGCCGAUGUCGGAUUAGCUUGUUGGUGGGGUGAUGGCCUACCAAGGCGACGAUCCGUAACUGGUCUGAGAGGACGACCAGUCACACUGGGACUGAGACACGGCCCAGACUCCUACGGGAGGCAGCAGUGGGGAAUUUUGGACAAUGGGCGCAAGCCUGAUCCAGCAAUGCCGCGUGUGUGAAGAAGGCCUUCGGGUUGUAAAGCACUUUUGUCCGGAAAGAAAUCCGUCUGGCUAAUACCCGGACGGGAUGACGGUACCGGAAGAAUAAGCACCGGCUAACUACGUGCCAGCAGCCGCGGUAAUACGUAGGGUGCGAGCGUUAAUCGGAAUUACUGGGCGUAAAGCGUGCGCAGGCGGCUUUGUAAGACAGAUGUGAAAUCCCCGGGCUCAACCUGGGAACUGCAUUUGUGACUGCAAGGCUAGAGUGCGUCAGAGGGAGGUGGAAUUCCGCGUGUAGCAGUGAAAUGCGUAGAGAUGCGGAGGAACACCGAUGGCGAACGCAGCCUCCUGGGAUGACACUGACGCUCAUGCACGAAAGCGUGGGGAGCA
This 747-nucleotide ribosomal RNA is filed under the name uncultured Burkholderia sp. RNAcentral's name for it is "bacterial SSU rRNA". It matches the Rfam family "Bacterial small subunit ribosomal RNA", at positions 28 to 770 of the family's 1533-position model. The record is from RNAcentral. Lineage: Bacteria; Pseudomonadati; Pseudomonadota; Betaproteobacteria; Burkholderiales; Burkholderiaceae.